This 116-nucleotide non-coding RNA is filed under the name Saccharothrix sp. RNAcentral's name for it is "SAM-I sequence". It matches the Rfam family "SAM riboswitch aptamer (S box leader)". Rfam says of the family: The SAM riboswitch is found upstream of a number of genes which code for proteins involved in methionine or cysteine biosynthesis in Gram-positive bacteria. The SAM riboswitch acts at the level of transcription termination control. The predicted structure consists of a complex stem-loop region followed by a single stem loop terminator region. The record is from RNAcentral. Lineage: Bacteria; Bacillati; Actinomycetota; Actinomycetes; Pseudonocardiales; Pseudonocardiaceae.
CGCUCAUCCAGAGGGGCAGAGGGAUCGGCCCGAAGAAGCCCCGGCAACCCGUCGCACAGCGUCCGCUGGCGACCACGGUGCCAAUUCCGACCCGCGGUGCGCGGGAAAGAUGAGGA